Molecule: ribosomal RNA, 938 nt
Filed under: Salegentibacter sp. DPA2_(MB)_50.2mbsf
Lineage: Bacteria; Pseudomonadati; Bacteroidota; Flavobacteriia; Flavobacteriales; Flavobacteriaceae
Description: bacterial SSU rRNA
Rfam family: Bacterial small subunit ribosomal RNA
Source: RNAcentral
AUGCAGUCGAGGGGUAACAUAGGAAAGCUUGCUUUUCUGAUGACGACCGGCGCACGGGUGCGUAACGCGUAUACAACCUACCUUUUAGCGGGGAAUAGCCCAGGGAAACUUGGAUUAAUGCCCCAUAGUAUAUGGACUUCUCCUGAAGUUUAUAUUAAACAUUUAUGGCUAUUAGAUGGGUAUGCGUCCUAUUAGUUAGUUGGUAAGGUAACGGCUUACCAAGGCAGCGAUAGGUAGGGGUCCUGAGAGGGAGAUCCCCCACACUGGUACUGAGACACGGACCAGACUCCUACGGGAGGCAGCAGUGAGGAAUAUUGGACAAUGGGCGAGAGCCUGAUCCAGCCAUGCCGCGUGCAGGAAGACUGCCCUAUGGGUUGUAAACUGCUUUUACAGAGGAAGAACCACCCCCACGUGUGGGGGUUUGACGGUACUCUGCGAAUAAGGAUCGGCUAACUCCGUGCCAGCAGCCGCGGUAAUACGGAGGAUCCAAGCGUUAUCCGGAAUCAUUGGGUUUAAAGGGUCCGUAGGCGGGCAGUUAAGUCAGUGGUGAAAGUCUUCCGCUCAACGGGAGAACUGCCAUUGAUACUGAUUGUCUUGAGUUAUUAUGAAGUGGUUAGAAUGAGUAGUGUAGCGGUGAAAUGCAUAGAUAUUACUCAGAAUACCGAUUGCGAAGGCAGAUCACUAAUAAUAUACUGACGCUGAUGGACGAAAGCGUAGGUAGCGAACAGGAUUAGAUACCCUGGUAGUCUACGCCGUAAACGAUGGUUACUAGCUGUUCGGANCGAUUGAGANCUGAGUGGUUAAGCGAAAGUGAUAAGUAACCCACCUGGGGAGUACGUUCGCAAGAAUGAAACUCAAAGGAAUUGACGGGGGCCCGCACAAGCGGUGGAGCAUGUGGUUUAAUUCGAUGAUACGCGAGGAACCUUACCAGGGNNUAA